UUGUAACAUGGUCUAAUGGAUAAGGCAUCAGACUUCGGAUCUGGGGAUUGUGGGUUCAAGUCCCAUGCGCCUCGCAAA
Basidiobolus meristosporus CBS 931.73 is the source of this 78-nucleotide non-coding RNA. NCBI's taxonomy places the organism in Eukaryota, Fungi, Basidiobolomycota, Basidiobolomycetes, Basidiobolales, Basidiobolaceae. The record is from the annotation of a GenBank genome assembly.